GAUGAACGCUGGCGGCGUGCUUAACACAUGCAAGUCGAACGGAAAGGCCCAAGCUUGCUUGGGUACUCGAGUGGCGAACGGGUGAGUAACACGUGGGUGAUCUGCCCUGCACUUCGGGAUAAGCCUGGGAAACUGGGUCUAAUACCGGAUAGGACCACAUUUUGGAUGGUGUGGUGGAAAGUUUUUCGGUGUGGGAUGAGCUCGCGGCCUAUCAGCUUGUUGGUGGGGUAAUGGCCUAUCAAGGCGUCGACGGGUAGCCGGCCUGAGAGGGUGUACGGCCACAUUGGGACUGAGAUACGGCCCAGACUCCUACGGGAGGCAGCAGUGGGGAAUAUUGCACAAUGGGCGCAAGCCUGAUGCAGCGACGCCGCGUGGGGGAUGACGGCCUUCGGGUUGUAAACUCCUUUCGCUAGGGACGAAGCGCAAGUGACGGUACCUGGAGAAGAAGCACCGGCUAACUACGUG
Molecule: ribosomal RNA, 465 nt
Filed under: uncultured bacterium
Lineage: Bacteria
Description: partial 16S ribosomal RNA
Rfam family: Bacterial small subunit ribosomal RNA
Source: RNAcentral